AGGACCUAUUGAAUCCAACAUGAGUAGCUUUUUCAAAAAUCAGCUGCUGCUGCUUCAAUCUAAGCAGCCUUUAGAGCAAGAUCAUUCUGUCAAAGACAACUAGCCAAGAAUAGCAAUGAUAUUUCUGAAGAUGCACUUGACCAAGUUGCUGAUUCUUUGAACAAGGUUCAGAAGAUGGGUCAUUUUGAGGAUUAUCUACAUUCUACAGCUUUAAAGAUUCAAAAGAGAUACCGCGGAUGGAAGGGAAGAAAAGAUUUUUCGAGAAUAUGCAACCGCAUUGUAAAAGUUCAGGUACUUGUGCACACAGAAUGUAUUUUACUAGCAGCAAGGUCAUGCUUGUCUCGUAGGUGAUUUUUUUUUUUUUUUUUUGAGUUUUACAAUUCUUUCCUUUCCUUUCUCCAUAGUAUAUGCUUCUUUAUAUAUAACCCUCAAAUUGUUGUGAUGGCUGUAGCUUUUCUUUAAAUGUAACAUACUGUUAUUUCAUUUAGUAUGGCAUUUCCUUGAUUUGCCUUGCAGAGUCAAUUCCUACUGCCUCUGUCCUUGUGUCCUUGCAGAGUCAAUGCUAGAGUUUCUUUGAACUUGAAGUGUAAAAAACUACAAGUUGGAUCUUGUUUGAAAUCCAAACUCAACCCUACUCACCUGGAAGUAGUUGAUACAUCUGGAGGGUAAAAAAAACUUACCUUACUUUGAAUUUUUUGCUAUUAAAUCGUUUUGUUGAUGAAAAGCUAAUAAAAUUCCUAGUUUCUGCCUUUAUCUUGCAUUUUAUUACCCAAAAUGUUAUUUGAUAUCUCUGUUUUUUAUUGCAGGUUCUUCGUGAACUUCUUGAGUUCAAAAGUGAUCGUGCUCCAAUACCUGUAGGGAAGGUUGAACCUGCUUUAGCUAUUGUGCAUCGGUUCUGCACUGGUGGGAUGUCUCUUGGAGCUAUUUCAAGAGAAACUCAUGAAGCAAUUGCAAUUGCAAUUAACAGAUUAGGUGGAAUAUAUGUAAAAUUAUGUAAAAUUUAGUAUGGUUGAACAAUAUACUGAGGAUUAUAGUUGAUAAUACACUUUGUUUACGUUUUGAAUUAUAUUGACUUGUUUGUUUAUAAUAAUUUUCUUUUAAUUUUAUAAUACGAUGAAUUUGUUUAUUUUU
This is a non-coding RNA of Arachis ipaensis, 1131 nucleotides long. The record is from RefSeq and is a predicted model, not a curated record. Lineage: Eukaryota; Viridiplantae; Streptophyta; Magnoliopsida; Fabales; Fabaceae.